RNAcentral lists this ribosomal RNA (980 nucleotides) under Mortierella sossauensis. RNAcentral's name for it is "eukaryotic LSU rRNA". It matches the Rfam family "Eukaryotic large subunit ribosomal RNA", at positions 92 to 933 of the family's 3401-position model. The record is from RNAcentral. Lineage: Eukaryota; Fungi; Mortierellomycota; Mortierellomycetes; Mortierellales; Mortierellaceae.
AGUGAAGCGGGAUGAGCUCAAAUUUGAAAUCUGGCUGGUUUACUAGUCCGAAUUGUAGUUUAUAGAAGCGUUUUCGGUGGCAGUCUCGGUAUAAAUCCUUUGGAAUAGGGUAUCAUAGAGGGUGAGAAUCCCGUCUUUGACUGAGAAUAUGCUACUAUGUGAUACGUUUUCAAAGAGUCGAGUUGUUUGGGAAUGCAGCUCAAAAUGGGUGGUAAAUUUCAUCUAAAGCUAAAUAUUGGCGAGAGACCGAUAGCGAACAAGUACCGUGAGGGAAAGAUGAAAAGAACUUUGAAAAGAGAGUUAAACAGUGCGUGAAAUUGUUGAAAGGGAAACGCUUGGAACCAGUCAUGCGGUUGGGAAAUCAGUGUUUUGCAAGGGGGAAUGGGGGAGGUGUGGACCGUAAGGCUGCUCUUUCCUAUAUCUUUUUUGUAAGGCAUGCACUUUUUCUUCUGCAGGUCAACAUCAGUUUCUUCUGCUGGACAAAACCCUUGAGAAGGUAGCAGCUUUGGCUGUGUUAUAGCUCUGGGGCGAUACAGUGGAGGGGACUGAGGUUUUCGCAGCAUGUGCUCUCGGGCAAGGCUGAUUGGGUGCUAUGGGAUCGUUCAGGGUACAAUACAUGUAUUUUGCCUUGUGUCUUUUCUAUACUCGCUCAACUCGGCUCUUCCAUGCUUAGGAUGUUGACUUAAUGGUUCUAAUCGACCCGUCUUGAAACACGGACCAAGGAGUCUAACAUAUAUGCAAGUGUUUGGGUGGCAAACCCAUGCGCGUAAUGAAAGUGAACGUAGGUGCGAUCCGCAAGGUGCAGCAUCGACCGAUCUUGAUAUUUUUGGAUAGAUUUGAGUAAGAGCAUAUAUGCUGGGACCCGAAAGAUGGUGAACUAUGCCUGAAUAGGGUGAAGCCAGAGGAAACUCUGGUGGAGGCUCGUAGCGAUUCUGACGUGCAAAUCGAUCGUCAAAUUUGGGUAUAGGGGCGAAAGACUA